RNAcentral lists this ribosomal RNA (391 nucleotides) under uncultured bacterium. RNAcentral describes it as "bacterial SSU rRNA". It matches the Rfam family "Bacterial small subunit ribosomal RNA", at positions 376 to 783 of the family's 1533-position model. The record is from RNAcentral.
CGAAAGCCUGACGGAGCAAUACCGCGUGAGGGAGGAAGGCUCUUGGGUUGUAAACCUCUUUUCUCAGGGAAGAAAAAUGACGGUACCUGAGGAAUAAGCAUCGGCUAACUCCGUGCCAGCAGCCGCGGUAAUACGGAGGAUGCAAGCGUUAUCCGGAAUGAUUGGGCGUAAAGCGUCCGCAGGUGGCAAUGUAAGUCUGCUGUCAAAGCGUCUGGCUCAACCAGAUAAAGGCAGUGGAAACUACAUAGCUAGAGUAAGGUAGGGGUAGAGGGAAUUCCUGGUGUAGCGGUGAAACGCGUAGAGAUCAGGAAGAACACCGGUGGCGAAGGCGCUCUGCUGGACCGCAACUGACACUCAGGGACGAAAGCUAGGGGAGCGAAUGGGAUUAGAU